GGCGCUAUAGCCAAGUGGUUACGGCGACAGAUUAGAAUCAACGGGUUAUCAUAUAUAUGACCAUAUCUGUUCCUCUUUGAGGGCGCAGGUUCAAAUCCUGCUGGCGUCG
Lentinula novae-zelandiae is the source of this 109-nucleotide non-coding RNA. Lineage: Eukaryota; Fungi; Basidiomycota; Agaricomycetes; Agaricales; Omphalotaceae. The record is from the annotation of a GenBank genome assembly.